This 1014-nucleotide long non-coding RNA is filed under the name Sus scrofa (pig). Its description in RNAcentral is "lncRNA (ENSSSCG00060045927.1)". Lineage: Eukaryota; Metazoa; Chordata; Mammalia; Artiodactyla; Suidae. The record is from RNAcentral.
GAAGCAUUUUUCUUUUUAAAACAUGAUAGAAAGUAGCAACAUACACUAAAUAGACUAGACUUUGAAAUUGAUGAUUUGGGUUGUGGACAAGUUGAGUUUGAACACCUUUUGCAACAUUCAUGGACCUGUAUCAAGUGGGCAGUUUGAUUUGUAGUGUCCAGACACUGAUUUCUGACUCAUCUGCAUAAACAUGGUCAUUGUUCUGUAGAUGUGGAUACAAUCAACUCGGAAGAGCUCAGAGACCAGAGAAGAAAAAGCAAUCAACUCAAUCAACUCGGAAGAGCUCAGAGACCAGAGAAGAAAAAGCAAUCAACUCAAUCAACUCGGAAGAGCUCAGAGACCAGAGAAGAAAAAGAGGAGAAAGCUGAGCCCUAAGUUUGGAGGAAACGUCAACCUUUAAAUGGCUGCCUGCAACUGAAUAAACCCAAAGGAGACACACAGGAAGCAUCUUAGGGAAAAAGGAAAAAUCAGGCGGAAGUUGUGCCAGUAAAGUCAGGGGCAGAGGAAAGUGCUUUAGGAAGGAAAACUGUCAUUGGUGACACUUCGGUAUAAUAACCAAUGAGGAAGGCAGAUUGCUGUGUGCUGAGCAAUGGGUGGAUGUAUCAACAUAUGAUGCCAGCCCCUGUCAACAAGACAUUCAAGUUCCAUUGCAAUAGUGGACAUGGAUUUUUACUGACACUCCUCAGAAAGGUAGAAGGCAAGGUAAAUAGUAUUAUAUUAUUUAAGAGACAAAAACGGUUUAAGAAUAGGGAAAGUGUGAUAGAAAGAGAAUAGAUUCUGUGGGAGGUUUUUUUGUGCUUAAUAAGAUGACCAAAAUAUUGACAUGAAUUUUGAUUUAAAAAUCUAUUGUCUCCCUUGGAAGUCAUUAAAAAUGAAAAAAAUCAAUCAUUUGCAGGAUGUUGGAACAGUUGGAAGGUUUCUACUGCUAACUGACAUCUGUGAAGUUGUCAAGGGUAAAAAAAUUAAGUGGCUGAACAAAAUUGUAUUGUUAAUAUGGCUGAAUGUUCCAUUUCA